This 466-nucleotide ribosomal RNA is filed under the name uncultured bacterium. RNAcentral's name for it is "partial 16S ribosomal RNA". It matches the Rfam family "Bacterial small subunit ribosomal RNA", at positions 28 to 507 of the family's 1533-position model. The record is from RNAcentral.
GACGAACGCUGGCGGCGUGCUUAACACAUGCAAGUCGAACGGAAAGGCCCUGCUUGCAGGGUACUCGAGUGGCGAACGGGUGAGUAACACGUGGGUGAUCUGCCCUGCACUUCGGGAUAAGCUUGGGAAACUGGGUCUAAUACCGGAUAGGAACCAUCUUUAGUGUGGUGGUUGGAAAGUUUUUUCGGUGUAGGAUGAGCUCGCGGCCUAUCAGCUUGUUGGUGGGGUAAUGGCCUACCAAGGCGGCGACGGGUAGCCGGCCUGAGAGGGUGUACGGCCACAUUGGGACUGAGAUACGGCCCAGACUCCUACGGGGGGCAGCAGUGGGGAAUAUUGCACAAUGGGCGCAAGCCUGAUGCAGCGACGCCGCGUGGGGGAUGAAGGCCUUCGGGUUGUAAACUCCUUUCGCUAGGGACGAAGCUUUGUUGUGACGGUACCUAGAUAAGAAGCACCGGCUAACUACGUG